RNAcentral lists this ribosomal RNA (438 nucleotides) under uncultured bacterium. RNAcentral describes it as "bacterial SSU rRNA". It matches the Rfam family "Bacterial small subunit ribosomal RNA", at positions 954 to 1392 of the family's 1533-position model. The record is from RNAcentral.
GCUUAACGCGAAGAACCUUACCUGGCCUUGACAUGUCUGGAAUCCCGAAGAGAUUUGGGAGUGCCGCAAGGAACCAGAACACAGGUGCUGCAUGGCUGUCGUCAGCUCGUGUCGUGAGAUGUUGGGUUAAGUCCCGCAACGAGCGCAACCCUUGUCCUUAGUUGCCAUCAUUAAGUUGGGAACUCUAAGGAGACCGCCGGUGACAAACAGGAGGAAGGUGGGGAUGACGUCAAGUCAUCAUGGCCUUUAUGGCCAGGGCUACACACGUGCUACAAUGGCAGGUACAGAGGGAAGCCAACCGGCGACGGGGAGCUAAUCCCAGAAAGCCUGUCUUAGUCCGGAUUGCAGUCUGCAACUCGACUGCAUGAAGUUGGAAUCGCUAGUAAUCGCAGAUCAGCAUUGCUGCGGUGAAUACGUUCCCGGGUCUUGUACACACCG